RNAcentral lists this ribosomal RNA (441 nucleotides) under uncultured bacterium. Its description in RNAcentral is "partial 16S ribosomal RNA". It matches the Rfam family "Bacterial small subunit ribosomal RNA", at positions 338 to 795 of the family's 1533-position model. The record is from RNAcentral.
CCUACGGGUGGCUGCAGUGGGGAAUAUUGCACAAUGGGGGAAACCCUGAUGCAGCAACGCCGCGUGAAGGAAGACGGUCUUCGGAUUGUAAACUUCUGUUCUUAGUGAAGAAGAAUGACGGUAGCUAAGGAGCAAGCCACGGCUAACUACGUGCAAGCAGCCGCGGUAAUACGUAGGUGGCAAGCGUUGUCCGGAAUUACUGGGUGUAAAGGGAGCGCAGGCGGGAGGCCAAGUCAGCUGUGAAAACUACGGGGUUAACUUGUUGACUGCAGUUGAUACUAGUUUUCUUGAGUGAAGUAGAGGUUAGCGGAAUUCCGAGUGUAGCGGUGAAAUGCGUAGAUAUUCGGAGGAACACCGGAGGCGAAGGCGGCCAACUGGGCUUUAACUGACGCUGAGGGUCGAAAGUGUGGGGAGCAAACAGGAUUAGAUACCCUUGUAGUC